This 251-nucleotide ribosomal RNA is filed under the name uncultured prokaryote. RNAcentral describes it as "partial 16S rRNA". It matches the Rfam family "Bacterial small subunit ribosomal RNA", at positions 525 to 775 of the family's 1533-position model. The record is from RNAcentral.
ACGUAGGGGGCGAGCGUUAUUCUUAAUUACUUUUUUUCCCUUCUCUCUCCGCGCCCCCCCCCUUCGCUCCACAAAGUCCAGUGCUCAACGCUGGGUGUGCGCGCGAUACUGACGGGCUUGAGGGCUGGAGAGGUGAGCGGAAUUCCCGGUGUAGUGGUAAAAUAUGUAGAGAUCGGGAGGAACACCAGCGGCGCAGGCGGCUCACUAGACAGUUUCUGACGCUAAGAUGCGAAAGCGUGGGGAGCAAACAG